AUGUAUUUAAGCCCAUCAUUGAUCUGUUGGAAUGUGCGAGGGUUGAAUAACCCGGCGAAGAGGAAGGCGGUGAAAGAAUUCUUGGCGAUGGUGAAGACGAGCUUAGUUUGCUUACAGGAGACAAAACUCGAUGUAAUUGAUCCUUUUACCUUAAUGCAAAGCCUCGGUCAGGCUUUUGCCGGUUACUCAUACUUGCCGGCAGUAGAGACGAGGGGUGGAGUCCUCCUCGCCUGGGACUCCACCAUUGUUGAUGUUGAUAGCAUCCAGUUGGAUGAUAAUUUUCUUACAGCAAAGGUCUGGCCAAAGAGGGGAGGGGCCUGGUGGAUAUCUGUGGUAUACGGGCCACAAGGAGACGAGGACAAAACUAAAUUCUUGGCGGACUUGGGUGCCAGGAGAACAAAUUGCCCCGGACCUUGGAUCGUCCUGGGAGAUUUCAACAUGAUCCUUAGGGCCUCAGAGAAGAGCAAUGCGAACCUUAACAGGCCCAUGAUGAACAAGUUCCGGCGAUUUGUUGAUGACAACGAGCUCAAAGAGCUUUACAUGCACGGACGGAUAUUUAUGUGGUCUAAUGAAAGAGAUAACCCAACCAUGACCAAAAUUGACUGCGUUCUAGUUUCGGUGGACUGGGACUUGGAGUACCCGGACUGCCUGCUUGAAGCUCUUUCCACGAGUGUUUCGGAUCACGCGCCUCCUCUCCUGAGCACUAGCGCCCCCUUGCUCUGA
RNAcentral lists this ribosomal RNA (723 nucleotides) under Triticum aestivum (bread wheat). Its description in RNAcentral is "partial small subunit ribosomal RNA". The record is from RNAcentral. Lineage: Eukaryota; Viridiplantae; Streptophyta; Magnoliopsida; Poales; Poaceae.